GGGUUGAUUUCUUAUCUCAAGUAAAUCACCAGUAAGCAAGGCCUAUUGUUUCCUACCAAUAGCCAGAGUAUAAAAUAAUGGAAUUAACAAGAAGUUUCUACCACCAUUAGAAUCUUGAACACUUACUUACGUUACAAACCCAAACCCAUAGAUCCCACAACUCGGGUUAAGGGAAUUUAGCUACUCAUAAUAAAAUAAUCAAGACA
RNAcentral lists this long non-coding RNA (206 nucleotides) under Capsicum annuum. Its description in RNAcentral is "long non-coding RNA (CANN_LNC012291)". The record is from RNAcentral. Lineage: Eukaryota; Viridiplantae; Streptophyta; Magnoliopsida; Solanales; Solanaceae.